AUUGAACGCUGGCGGCAUGCCUAACACAUGCAAGUCGAGCGAACGGCGGACGGGUGAGUAAUUCCUGGGAAACUGCCUGAUGUAGGGGGCUAACUACUGGAAAAGUUAGCUACUACCGCAUAACCUCCUUUCUGCCCACAUGGGAUGAGCUAGUAGGUGGGGUAACGGCUCACCUAGGCGACGAUCCCUAGCUGGUCUUAGAGGAUGACCGGCCACACUGGAACUGAGACACGGUCCAGACUCCUACGGGAGGCAGCAGUGGGGAAUAUUGCACAAUGGGCGCAAGCCUGACGGAGCCAGGCCGCGUGUGUGAAGAAGGCCUUCGGGUUGUAAAGCACUUUCAGCGAGGAGGCGGUACUCGAAGAAGAAGCAACGGCUAACUACGUGCCAGCAGCCGCGGUAAUUC
Molecule: ribosomal RNA, 406 nt
Filed under: uncultured bacterium
Lineage: Bacteria
Description: partial 16S ribosomal RNA
Rfam family: Bacterial small subunit ribosomal RNA
Source: RNAcentral